AAAUUGAAGAGUUUGAUCAUGGCUCAGAUUGAACGCUGGCGGCAGGCCUAACACAUGCAAGUCGAACGGUAACAGGAAGAAGCUUGCUUCUUUGCUGACGAGUGGCGGACGGGUGAGUAAUGUCUGGGAAACUGCCUGAUGGAGGGGGAUAACUACUGGAAACGGUAGCUAAUACCGCAUAACGUCGCAAGACCAAAGAGGGGGACCUU
This 209-nucleotide ribosomal RNA is filed under the name Escherichia coli. RNAcentral's name for it is "partial 16S ribosomal RNA". It matches the Rfam family "Bacterial small subunit ribosomal RNA", at positions 1 to 216 of the family's 1533-position model. RNAcentral also lists the same sequence under 3 other names. The record is from RNAcentral. Lineage: Bacteria; Pseudomonadati; Pseudomonadota; Gammaproteobacteria; Enterobacterales; Enterobacteriaceae.